CAACCCUCAAGCUCAGCUUGGUAUUGGGUGUCACCUGGCAAUGGUGUACCUUAAAAUCAGUGGCGGUGCCGUCUGGCUUCAAGCGUAGUAAUUCUCUCGCUUUGGAGGCUUAGGUGUGUGCUUGCCAUCAACCUCUAAUUUUUCAAA
This 147-nucleotide unclassified non-coding RNA is filed under the name uncultured Helotiales. RNAcentral's name for it is "sequence contains ITS2". The record is from RNAcentral. Lineage: Eukaryota; Fungi; Ascomycota; Leotiomycetes; Helotiales.